CAUGCAAGUCGAGCGGUAGCACAGAGAGCUUGCUCUCGGGUGACGAGCGGCGGACGGGUGAGUAAUGUCUGGGAAACUGCCUGAUGGAGGGGGAUAACUACUGGAAACGGUAGCUAAUACCGCAUAAUGUCGCAAGACCAAAGUGGGGGACCUUCGGGCCUCAUGCCAUCAGAUGUGCCCAGAUGGGAUUAGCUAGUAGGUGGGGUAA
RNAcentral lists this ribosomal RNA (208 nucleotides) under Klebsiella pneumoniae. Its description in RNAcentral is "partial 16S ribosomal RNA". It matches the Rfam family "Bacterial small subunit ribosomal RNA", at positions 54 to 260 of the family's 1533-position model. The record is from RNAcentral. Lineage: Bacteria; Pseudomonadati; Pseudomonadota; Gammaproteobacteria; Enterobacterales; Enterobacteriaceae. RNAcentral also lists the same sequence under 1 other name.